AUUUCAUGAAAUUAGCAGCAAGUUGACUGCGAAUUUUUCUUUUGGUAACUAGCCUGUAACUACAAAUGGAUUGUAUAUCUUACUUAUUAGUCAAAAUUUAUGUAGAGGUUACAGAAAUAUUGACAAACCUUGUGUUGAAAAGGAGAUCAACACAAUGUAGGUGUCUAUGGGAAGACAGGGAUAUAUGUACAACUUGGAACACCAAAAUAUGAUUAAUGAGUAGGUUUUUUAAUGCAAAUCAUCAUUUAUGUAGGUGUAAAGUCCCAAAUUUGUUUUAUAAUGGUUGAG
This 288-nucleotide long non-coding RNA is filed under the name Medicago truncatula (barrel medic). Its description in RNAcentral is "long non-coding RNA (MTRU_LNC008774)". The record is from RNAcentral. Lineage: Eukaryota; Viridiplantae; Streptophyta; Magnoliopsida; Fabales; Fabaceae.